This 347-nucleotide ribosomal RNA is filed under the name Pseudo-nitzschia fraudulenta. Its description in RNAcentral is "LSU rRNA". It matches the Rfam family "Eukaryotic large subunit ribosomal RNA", at positions 185 to 543 of the family's 3401-position model. The record is from RNAcentral. Lineage: Eukaryota; Bacillariophyta; Bacillariophyceae; Bacillariales; Bacillariaceae.
GUUCCUUGGAAAAGGACAGCUGAGAGGGUGAAACUCCCGUCCGCCUGGUAGAAUGAGUCUUUGUCAACGAGUCGAGUUGUUUGGGAUUGCAGCUCUAAUUUGGUGGUAAAUUCCAUCUAAAGCUAAAUAUUGGUGGGAGACCGAUAGCGUACAAGUACCGUGAGGGAAAGAUGCAAAGAACUUUGAAAAGAGAGUUAAAGAGUACCUGAAAUUGCUGAAACGGAAGCGAAGGAAACCAGUGUUUGUUGGUUCAUAUUUCCCUGGCCACUUGUGGCUUGGGCGCUGUGAGCUUGCGUGGGUUUGGGUUGGUUGAUCCCUUUGGAAGAGCGCAGUCAGAGUUGAUGUCU